GAUGAACGCUAGCGGCAGGCUUAACACAUGCAAGUCGAGGGGUAUUGGUUUUUCGGACCAAGAGACCGGCGCACGGGUGCGUAACGCGUAUGCAAUCUACCUUUUGCAGAGGGAUAGCCCCAGAGAAAUUUGGAUUAAUACCUCAUAGUAUAGUACUUUGGCAUCAAGGAACUAUUAAAGUCACAACGGCAAAGAUGAGCAUGCGUCCCAUUAGCUAGUUGGUAAGGUAACGGCUUACCAAGGCUACGAUGGGUAGGGGUUCUGAGAGGGAGAUCCCCCACACUGGUACUGAGACACGGACCAGACUCCUACGGGAGGCAGCAGUGAGGAAUAUUGGACAAUGGGCGCAAGCCUGAUCCAGCCAUGCCGCGUGCAGGAUGACGGUCCUAUGGAUUGUAAACUGCUUUUUAUACAGGAAAGAAACACUCCGACGUGUCGGAGCUUGACGGUACUGUAAGAAUAAGGAUCGGCUAACUCCGUGCCAGCAGCCGCG
This 493-nucleotide ribosomal RNA is filed under the name uncultured bacterium. RNAcentral describes it as "bacterial SSU rRNA". It matches the Rfam family "Bacterial small subunit ribosomal RNA", at positions 28 to 519 of the family's 1533-position model. The record is from RNAcentral.